GGGUGGUGGUGCAUGGCCGUUCUUAGUUGGUGGAGUGAUUUGUCUGGUUAAUUCCGUUAACGAACGAGACCUCAGCCUGCUAACUAGUUACGCGAAUAUUUAUUCGUGGCGAUACUUCUUAGAGGGACUAUUUGUGUUUAAUGAAAGGAAGUUUGAGGCAAUAACAGGUUUGUGAUGCCCUUAGAUGUUUCGGGCCGCCCGCGCGCUACCAUGAUGACCGCAACGAGCUCUACCCCGCUCCGAAAGGUCCGGGUAAACUUGUGAAAGUUCAUCGUGAUGGGGAUAGAUUAUUGCAAUUAUUAAUCUUCAACGAGGAAUUCCUAGUAAGCGUGAUUCAUCAGAUCGCGUUGAUUACGUCCCUGCCCUUUGUACACACCGCCCGUCGCUCCUACCGAUUGAAUGGUCCGGUGAAAUCUUCGGAUUGCUGGUUUUGG
This 434-nucleotide ribosomal RNA is filed under the name Hemiselmis sp. RCC4216. RNAcentral's name for it is "SSU rRNA". It matches the Rfam family "Eukaryotic small subunit ribosomal RNA", at positions 1272 to 1727 of the family's 1831-position model. The record is from RNAcentral. Lineage: Eukaryota; Cryptophyceae; Cryptomonadales; Hemiselmidaceae.